CAGGAACUUCUUACAGUCAUGUGCUCUACCAACUGAGCUAUGAAGGUGCUUAUAGAUAAAGACGCAGAAAACAUAGUGGCUUCGGCGACACACUUUGCCAACACAACAAUCAAGCCACCUGGUCAAUGAAAAAGGUUGAACAGUGCAUACACCAAUGAAAUCUGGUGCUUGGAGCUGGAGUUGAACCAGCGACCUUUGGACGACAGCGUUUCAGAAACUUCUUAAAGUCAUGUGCUCUACCAACUGAGCUAUGAAGGUGCUUACUGACACAAACGCAGAAAACAUAGUGGCUUCGGCGACACACUUUGCCAACACAACAAUUGGAACCACAUGGUCAAUGAAAAAGGUUGAACAGUGCAUAGACAAAUGAAAUCUGGUGUUUGGAGCAGGAGUUGAACCAGCGACCUUUGGAGCACAGCGUUUCAGGAACUUCUUACAGUCAUGUGCUCUACCAAGUGAGCUAUGAAAGUGCUUAUAGAUACAACCGCAGAAAACAUAGUGGCUUUGGCGACACACUUUGCCAACAAUACAAUUGGACCCACAUGGUCAAUGAAAAAGGUUGAACAGUGCAUAGACCAAUGAAAUCUGGUGUUUGGAGCAGGAGUUGAACCAGCAACCUUUGGACCACAGCAUUUCAGGAACUUCUUAAAGUCAUGUGCUCUACCAACUGAGCUAUGAAGGUGCUUAUAGAAAAAAACACAGAAAACAUAGUGCCUUCGGCGACACACUUUGCCAACAAUACAAUUAGACCCACAUGGUCAAUGAAAAAGGUUGAACAAUGCAUACACGAAUAAAAUCUGGUGUUUGGAGCUGGAGUUGAACCAGCGACCUUUGGACCACAGCGUUUCAGGAACUUCUUACAGUCCUCUGCUCUACCAACUGAGCUAUGAAGGUGCUUAUAGAAAAAAACCGCAGAAAACAUAGUGCCUUCGGCGACACACUUUGCCAACAUAUCUAUUGAAGCAACAUGGUCAAUGAAAAAGGUUGAACAGUGCAUACAAGAAUAAAAUCUGGUGUUUGGAGCUGGAGUUGAACCAGCGACCUUUGGACCACAGCGUUUCAGGAACUUCUUAAUGUCAUGUGCUCUACAAACUGAGCUAUGAAGGUGCUUACAGACACAACCGCAGAAAACAUAGUGGCUUCGGCGACACACUUUGCCAACACAACAAUCAAGCCACCUGGUCAAUGAAAAAGGUUGAACAGUGCAUAGACCAAUGAAAUCUGGUGUUUGGAGCAGGAGUUGAACCAGCGUCCUUUGGACCACAGCGUUUCAGGAACUUCUUAAAGUCAUUUGCUCUACCAACGGAGCUAUGAAGGUGCUAAUAGAUAAAAACGCAGAAAACAUAGUGGCUUCGGCGACACACUUUGCCAACACAACAAUCAAGGCACCUGGUCAAUGAAAAAGGAUGAACAGUGCAUAUACAAAUGAAAUCUGGUGCUUGGAGCUGGAGUUGAACCAGGGACCUUUGGACCACAGCGUUUCAGGAACUUCUUACAGUCAUGUGCUCUACCAACUGAGCUAUGAAGGUGCUUAUAGAUAAAGACGCAGAAAACAUAGUGGCUUCGGCGACACACUUUGCCAACACAACAAUCAAGCCACCUGGUCAAUGAAAAAGGUUGAACAGUGCAUACACCAAUGAAAUCUGGUGCUUGGAGCUGGAGUUGAACCAGCGACCUUUGGACGACAGCGUUUCAGAAACUUCUUAAAGUCAUGUGCUCUACCAACUGAGCUAUGAAGGUGCUUACUGACACAAACGCAGAAAACAUAGUGGCUUCGGCGACACACUUUGCCAACACAACAAUUGGAACCACAUGGUCAAUGAAAAAGGUUGAACAGUGCAUAGACAAAUGAAAUCUGGUGUUUGGAGCAGGAGUUGAACCAGCGACCUUUGGAGCACAGCGUUUCAGGAACUUCUUACAGUCAUGUGCUCUACCAAGUGAGCUAUGAAAGUGCUUAUAGAUACAACCGCAGAAAACAUAGUGGCUUUGGCGACACACUUUGCCAACAAUACAAUUGGACCCACAUGGUCAAUGAAAAAGGUUGAACAGUGCAUAGACCAAUGAAAUCUGGUGUUUGGAGCAGGAGUUGAACCAGCAACCUUUGGACCACAGCAUUUCAGGAACUUCUUAAAGUCAUGUGCUCUACCAACUGAGCUAUGAAGGUGCUUAUAGAAAAAAACACAGAAAACAUAGUGCCUUCGGCGACACACUUUGCCAACAAUACAAUUAGACCCACAUGGUCAAUGAAAAAGGUUGAACAAUGCAUACACGAAUAAAAUCUGGUGUUUGGAGCUGGAGUUGAACCAGCGACCUUUGGACCACAGCGUUUCAGGAACUUCUUACAGUCCUCUGCUCUACCAACUGAGCUAUGAAGGUGCUUAUAGAAAAAAACCGCAGAAAACAUAGUGCCUUCGGCGACACACUUUGCCAACAUAACUAUUGAAGCAACAUGGUCAAUGAAAAAGGUUGAACAGUGCAUACACGAAUAAAAUCUGGUGUUUGGAGCUGGAGUUGAACCAGCGACCUUUGGACCACAGCGUUUCAGGAACUUCUUAAUGUCAUGUGCUCUACAAACUGAGCUAUGAAGGUGCUUACAGACACAACCGCAGAAAACAUAGUGGCUUCGGCGACACACUUUGCCAACACAACAAUCAAGCCACCUGGUCAAUGAAAAAGGUUGAACAGUGCAUAGACCAAUGAAAUCUGGUGUUUGGAGCAGGAGUUGAACCAGCGUCCUUUGGACCACAGCGUUUCAGGAACUUCUUAAAGUCAUUUGCUCUACCAACGGAGCUAUGAAGGUGCUAAUAGAUAAAAACGCAGAAAACAUAGUGGCUUCGGCGACACACUUUGCCAACACAACAAUCAAGGCACCUGGUCAAUGAAAAAGGAUGAACAGUGCAUAUACAAAUGAAAUCUGGUGCUUGGAGCUGGAGUUGAACCAGGGACCUUUGGACCACAGCGUUUCAGGAACUUCUUACAGUCAUGUGCUCUACCAACUGAGCUAUGAAGGUGCUUAUAGAUGAAAAACGCAGAAAACAUAGUGGCUUCGGCGACACACUUUGCCAACACAACAAUCAAGCCACCUGGUCAAUGAAAAAGGUUGAACAGUGCAUAGACCAAUGAAAUCUGGUGUUUGGAGCAGGAGUUGAACCAGCGACCUUUGGACCACAGCGUUUCAAGAACUUCUUAAAGUCAUGUGCUCUACCAAAUGAGCUAUGAAGGUGCUUAUAGAUAAAAACGCAAAAAACAUAGUGGCUUCGGCGACACACUUUGCCAAAACAACAAUCAAGCCACCUGGUCAAUGAAAAAGGAUGAACAGUGCAUAUACAAAUGAAAUCUGGUGCUUGGAGCUGGAGUUGAACCAGGGACCUUUGGACCACAGCGUUUCAGGAACUUCUUAAAGUCAUGUGCUCUACCAACUGAGCUAUGAAGGUGCUUAUAGAUAAAGACGCAGAAAACAUAGUGGCUUCGGCAACACACUUUGCCAACAUAACUAUUGAACCAACAUGGUCAAUGAAAAAGGUUGAACAGUGCAUAUACAAAUGAAAUCUGGUGCUUGGAGCUGGAGUUGAACCAGGGACCUUUGGACCACAGCGUUUCAGGAACUUCUUACAGUCAUGUGCUCUACCAACUGAGCUAUGAAGGUGCUUAUAGAUAAAGACGCAGAAAACAUAGUGGCUUCGGCGACACACUUUGCCAACACAACAAUCAAGCCACCUGGUCAAUGAAAAAGGUUGAACAGUGCUUAGACCAAUGAAAUCUGGUGUUUGGAGCAGGAGUUGAACCAGCGACCUUUGGACCACAGCCUUACAGGAACUUCUUAAAGUCAUGUGCUCUAGCAACAGAGCUAUGAAGGUGCUUAUAGAUGAAAACGCAGAAAACAUAGUGGCUUCGGCGACACACUUUGCCAAAACAACAAUCAAGCCACCUGGUCAUUGAAAAAGGAUGAACAGUGCAUAUACAAAUGAAAUCUGGUGAUUGGAGCUAGAUGAACCAGGGACCUUUGGACCACAGCGUUUCAGGAACUUCUUAAAGUCAUGUGCUCUACCAACUGAGCUAUGAAGGUGCUUAUAGAUGAAAACGCAGAAAACAUAGUGGCUUCGGCGACACACUUUGCCAACACAACAAUCAAGCCACCUGGUCAAUGAAAAAGGAUGAACAGUGCAUAUACAAAUGACAACUGGAUGCUUGGAGCUGGAGUUGAACCAGCGACCUUUGGACCACAGCGUUUCGGGAACUUCUUAAAGUCAUGUGCUCUACCAACUGAGCUAUGAAGGUGCUUAUAGAUAAAAACGCAGAAAACAUAGUGGCUUCGGCGACACACUUUGCCAAAACAACAAUCAAGCCACCUGGUCAAUGAAAAAGGAUGAACAGUGCAUAUACAAAUGAAAUGUGGUGCUUGGAGCUGGAGUUGAACCAGCGACCUUUCGACCACAGCGUUUUAGGAACUUCUUAAAGUCAUGUGCUCUACCAACUGAGCUAUGAAGGUGCUUAUAGAUAAAAACGCAGAAAACAUAGUGGCUUCGGCGACACACUUUGCCAACAUAACUAUUGAACCAACAUGGUCAAUGAAAAAGGUUGAACAGUGCAUAGACCAAUGAAAUGUGGUGUUUGGAGCAGGAGUUGAACCAGCGUCCUUUGGACCACAGCGUUUCAGGAACUUCUCAAAGUCAUGUGCUCUACCAACUGAGCUAUGAAGGUGCUUAUAGACACAAACGCAGAAAACAUAGUGGCUUCGGCGACACACUUUGCCAACAAUACAAUUGGACCCACAUGGUCAAUGAAAAAGGUUGAACAGUGCAUAGACCAAUGAAAUCUGGUGUUUGGAGCAGGAGUUGAACCAGCGACCUUUGGACCACAGCGUUUCAGGAACUUCUUAAAGUCAUGUGCUCCACCAACUGAGCUAUGAAGGUGCUUAUAGAUAAAAACGCAGAAAACAUAGUGGCUUCGGCGACACACUUUGCCAAAACAACAAUCAAGCCACCUGGUCAAUGAAAAAGGAUGAAGAGUGCAUAUACAAAUGAAAUCUGGUGCUUGGAGCUGGAGUUGAACCAGCGACCUUUGGACCACAGCGUUUCAGGAACUUCUUAAAGUCAUGUGCUCUACCAACUGAGCUUUGAAGGUGCUUAUAAACACAUAGCAGAAAACAUAGUGGCUUCGGCGACACACUUUGCCAACAUAACUAUUGAACCAACAUGGUCAAUGAAAAAGGAUGAACAGUGCAUAUACAAAUGAAAUCUGGUGCUUGGAGCUGGAGUUGAACCAGCGACCUUUGGACCACAGCGAUUCAGGAACUUCUUAAAGUCAUGUGCUCUACAAUCUGAGCUAUGAAGGUUUUUAUAAACACAUAGCAGAAAACAUAGUGGCUUCGGCGACACACUUUGCAAACAUAACUAUUGAACCAACAUGGUCAAUGAAAAAGGUUGAACAGUGCAUACAACAAUGAAAUCUGGUGUUUGGAGCUGGAGUUGAACCAGCGUCCUUUGGACCACAGCGUUUAAGGAACUUCUUAAAGUCAUGUGCUCUACCAACUGAGCUAUGAAGGUGCUUAUAGAUAAAAACGCAGAAAACAUAGUGGCUUCGGCGACACACUUUGCCAAAACAACAAUCAAGCCACCUGGUCAAUGAAAAAGGUUGAACAGUGCAUAUACAAAUGAAAUCUGGUGCUUGGAGGAGGAGUUGAACCAGGGACCUUUAGACCACAGCGUUUCAGGAACUUCUUACAGUCAUGUGCUCUACCAACUGAGCUAUGAAGGUGCUUAUAGAAACAAACGCAGAAAACAUAGUGGCUUCGGCGACACACUUUGCCAACACAACAAUCAAGCCACCUGGUCAAUGAAAAAGGUUGAACAGUGCUUAGACCAAUGAAAUCUGGUGUUUGGAGCAGGAGUUGAACCAGCGACCUUUGGACCACAGCCUUACAGGAACUUCUUAAAGUCAUGUGCUCUAGCAACAGAGAUAUGAAGGUGCUUAUAGAUGAAAACGCAGAAAACAUAGUGGCUUCGGCGACACACUUUGCCAAAACAACAAUCAAGCCACCUGGUCAUUGAAAAAGGAUGAACAGUGCAUAUACAAAUGAAAUCUGGUGAUUGGAGCUAGAUGAACCAGCGUCCUUUGGACCACAGCGUUUCAGGAACUUCUUAAAGUCAUGUGCUCUACCAACUGAGCUAUGAAGGUGCUUAUAGAUACAACCGCAGAAAACAUAGUGGCUUCGGCGACACACUUUGCCGACAUAACUAUUGGACCCACAUGGUCAAUGAAAAAGGAUGAACAGUGCAUAUACCAAUGAAAUCUGGUGCUUGGAGCUGGAGUUGAACCAGGGACCUUUGGACCACAGCGUUUCAGGAACUUCUUAAAGUCCUCUGCUCUACCAAAUGAGCUAUGAAGGUGCUUAUAGACACAAACGCAGAAAACAUAGUGGCUUCCGCGACACUCUUUGCCGACAUAACUAUUGAACCAACAUGGUCAAUGAAAAAGGUUGAACAGUGCAUACACCAAUGAAAUCUGGUGUUUGGAGCUGGAGUUGAACUAGCGACCUUUGGACAACAGCGUUUCAGGAACUUCUUAAAGUCAUGUGAUCUACCAACUGAGCUAUGAAGGUGCUUAUUGACACAAACGCAGAAAACAUAGUAGCUUCGGCGACACACUUUGCCAACAUAACUAUUGGACCCACAUGGUCAAUGAAAAAGGUUGAACAGUGCAUACACCAAUGAAAUCUGGUGUUUGGAGCUGGAGUUGAACCAGCGAUGUUUGGACCACAGCUUUUUAGGAACUUCUUAAAGUGAUGUGCUCUACCAACUGAGCUAUGAAGGUGCUUAUAGACACAAACGCAGAAAACAUAGUGGCUUCGGCGACACACUUUGCCAACAUAACUAUUGAACCAACAUGGUCAAUGAAAAAGGUUGAACAGUGCAUACACCAAUGAAAUCUGGUGUUUGGAGCUGGAGUUGAACCAGCGUCCUUUGGACCACAGCGUUUAAGGAACUUCUUAAAGUCAUGUGCUCUACCAACUGAGCUAUGAAGGUGCUUAUAGAUAAAAACGCAGAAAACAUAGUGGCUUCGGCGACACACUUUGCCAAGACAACAAUCAAGCCACCUGGUCAAUGAAAAAGGAUGAACAGUGCAUAUACAAAUGAAAUCUGGUGCUUGGAGCUGGAGUUGAACCAGGGACCUUUGGACCACAGCGUUUCAGGAACUUCUUACAGUCAUGUGCUCUACCAACUGAGCUAUGAAGGUGCUUAUAGAUGAAAACGCAGAAAACAUAGUGGCUUCGGCGACACACUUUGCCAACACAACAAUCAAGCCACCUGGUCAAUGAAAAAGGUUGAACAGUGCAUAGACCAAUGAAAUCUGGUGUUUGGAGCAGGAGUUGAACAAGCGACCUUUGGACCACAGCGUUUCAGGAACUUCUUAAAGUCAUGUGCUCUACCAACUGAGCUAUGAAGGUGCUUAUAGAUAAAAACGCAGAAAACAUAGUGGCUUCGGCGACACACUUUGCCAAAACAACAAUCAAGCCACCUGGUCAAUGAAAAAGGAUGAACAGUGCAUAGACCAAUGAAAUGUGGUGUUUGGAGCAGGAGUUGAACCAGCGACCUUUGGACCACAGCGUUUCGGGAACUUCUUAAAGUCAUGUGCUCUACCAACUGAGCUAUGAAGGUGCUUAUAGAUAAAAACGCAGAAAACAUAGUGGCUUCGGCGACACACUUUGCCAAAACAACAAUCAAGCCACGUGGUCAAUGAAAAAGGAUGAACAGUGCAUAUACAAAUGAAAUCUGGUGCUUGGAGCUGGAGUUGAACCAGCGACCUUUGGACCACAGCGUUUUAGGAACUUCUUAAAGUCAUGUGCUCUACCAACUGAGCUAUGAAGGUGCUUAUAGAUAAAAACGCAGAAAACAUAGUGGCUUCGGCGACACACUUUGCCAACAUAACUAUUGAACCAACAUGGUCAAUGAAAAAGGUUGAACAGUGCAUAGACCAAUGAAAUGUGGUGUUUGGAGCAGGAGUUGAACCAGCGUCCUUUGGACCACAGCGUUUCAGGAACUUCUUAAAGUCAUGUGCUCUACCAAAUGAGCUAUGAAGGUGCUUAUAGACACAAACGCAGAAAACAUAGUGGCUUCGGCGACACACUUUGCCAACAAUACAAUUGGACCCACAUGGUCAAUGAAAAAGGUUGAACAGUGCAUAGACCAAUGAAAUCUGGUGUUUGGAGCAGGAGUUGAACCAGCGUCCUUUGGACCACAGCGUUUCAGGAACUUCUUAAAGUCAUGUGCUCUACCAACUGAGCUAUGAAGGUGCUUAUAGAUAAAAACGCAGAAAACAUAGUGGCUUCGGCGACACACUUUGCCAACAUAACUAUUGAACCAACAUGGUCAAUGAAAAAGGAUGAACAGUGCAUAUACAAAUGAAAUCUGGUGCUUGGAGCUGGAGUUGAACCAGGGACCUUUGGACCACAGCGUUUCAGGAACUUCUUAAAGUCAUGUGCUCUACCAACUGAGCUAUGAAGGUGCUUAUAGAUAAAAACGCAGAAAACAUAGUGGCUUCGGCGACACACUUUGCCAACAUAACUAUUGAACCAACAUGGUCAAUGAAAAAGGUUGAACAGUGCAUACACCAAUGAAAUCUGGUGCUUGGAGCUGGAGUUGAACCAGCGUCCUUUGGACCACAGCGUUUCAGGAACUUCUUAAAGUCAUGUGCUCUACCAACUGAGCUAUGAAGGUGCUUAUAGAUAAAAACGCAGAAAACAUAGUGGCUUCGGCGACACACUUUUCCAACAAUACAAUUGGACCCACAUGGUCAAUGAAAAAGGUUGAACAGUGCUUAGACAAAUGAAAUCUGGUGUUUGGAGCAGGAGUUGAACCAGCGACCUUUGGACAACAGCGUUUCAGGAACUUCUUAAAGUCAUGUGCUCUACCAACUGAGCUAUGAAGGUGCUUAUAGAUAAAAACGCAGAAAACAUAGUGGCUUCGGCGACACACUUUGCCAAAACAACAAUCAAGCCACCUGGUCAAUGAAAAAGGAUGAAUAGUGCAUAUACAAAUGAAAUCUGGUGCUUGGAGCUGGAGUUGAACCAGGGACCUUUGGACCACAGCGUUUCAGGAACUUCUUAAAGUCAUGUGCUCUACCAACUGAGCUAUGAAGGUGCUUAUAGAUAAAAACGCAGAAAACAUAGUGGCUUCGGCGACACACUUUGCCAACAAUACAAUUGGACCCACAUGGUCAAUGAAAAAGGUUGAACAGUGCUUAGACAAAUGAAAUCUGGUGUUUGGAGCAGGAGUUCAACCAGCGACCUUUGGACCACAGCGUUUCAGGAACUUCUUAAAGUCAUGUGCUCUACCAACUGAGCUAUGAAGGUGCUUAUAGAUAAAAACGCAGAAAACAUAGUGGCUUCGGCGACACACUUUGCCAAAACAACAAUCAAGCCACCUGGUCAAUGAAAAAGGAUGAACAGUGCAUAUACAAAUGAAAUCUGGUGCUUGGAGCUGGAGUUGAACCAGGGACCUUUGGACCACAGCGUUUCAGGAACUUCUUAAAGUCAUGUGCUCUACCAACUGAGCUAUGAAGGUGCUUAUAGAUAAAAACGCAGAAAACAUAGUGGCUUCGGCGACACACUUUGCCAACAUAACUAUUGAACCAACAUGGUCAAUGAAAAAGGUUGAACAGUGCAUAUACAAAUGAAAUCUGGUGCUUGGAGCUGGAGUUGAACCAGGGACCUUUGGACCACAGCGUUUCAGGAACUGCUUACAGUCAUGUGCUCUACCAACUGAGCUAUGAAGGUGCUUAUAGACACAAACGCAGAAAACAUAGUGGCUUCGGUGACACACUUUGCCAACACAACAAUCAAGCCACCUGGUCAAUGAAAAAGGUUGAACAGUGCUUAGACCAAUGAAAUCUGGUGUUUGGAGCAGGAGUUGAACCAGCGACCUUUGGACCACAGCCUUACAGGAACUUCUUAAAGUCAUGUGCUCUAGCAACAGAGCUAUGAAGGAUGAAAACGCAGAAAACAUAGUGGCUUCGGCGACACACUUUGCCAAAACAACAAUCAAGCCACCUGGUCAUUGAAAAAGGAUGAACAGUGCAUAUACAAAUGAAAUCUGGUGAUUGGAGCUAGAUGAACCAGGGACCUUUGGACCACAGCGUUUCAGGAACUUCUUAAAGUCAUGUGCUCUACCAACUGAGCUAUGAAGGUGCUUAUAGAUGAAAACGCAGAAAACAUAGUGGCUUUUGGCGACACACUUUGCCAACACAACAAUCAAGCCACCUGGUCAAUGAAAAAGGAUGAACAGUGCAUAUACAAAUGACAACUGGAUGCUUGGAGCUGGAGUUGAACCAGCGACCUUUGGACCACAGCGUUUCGGGAACUUCUUAAAGUCAUGUGCUCUACCAACUGAGCUAUGAAGGUGCUUAUAGAUAAAAACGCAGAAAACAUAGUGGCUUCGACGACACACUUUGCCAAAACAACAAUAAAGCCACCUGGUCAAUGAAAAAGGAUGAACAGUGCAUAUACAAAUGAAAUCUGGUGCUUGGAGCUGGAGUUGAACCAGCGACCUUUGGACCACAGCGUUUUAGGAACUUCUUAAAGUCAUGUGCUCUACCAACUGAGCUAUGAAGGUGCUAAUAGAUAAAAACGCAGAAAACAUAGUGGCUUCGGCGACACACUUUGCCAACAUAACUAUUGAACCAACAUGGUCAAUGAAAAAGGAUGAACAGUGCAUAUACAAAUGAAAUCUGGUGCUUGGAGCUGGAGUUGAACCAGCGACCUUUGGACCACAGCGAUUCAGGAACUUCUUAAAGUCAUGUGCUCUACAAUCUGAGCUAUGAAGGUUUUUAUAAACACAUAGCAGAAAACAUAGUGGCUUCGGCGACACACUUUGCAAACAUAACUAUUGAACCAACAUGGUCAAUGAAAAAGGUUGAACAGUGCAUACAACAAUGAAAUCUGGUGUUUGGAGCUGGAGUUGAACCAGCAUCCUUUGGACCACAGCGUUUCAGGAACUUCUUAAAGUCAUGUGCUCUACCAACUGAGCUAUGAAGGUGCUUAUAGAUAAAAACGCAGAAAACAUAGUGGCUUCGGCGACACACUUUGCAAACAAUACAAUUGGACCCACAUGGUCAAUGAAAAAGGUUGAACAGUGCAUAGACCAAUGAAAUGUGGUGUUUGGAGCAAGAGUUGAACCAGCGACCUUUGGACCACAGCGUUUCAGGAACUUCUUAAAGUCAUGUGCUCUACCAACUGAGCUAUGAAGGUGCUUAUAGAUGAAAACGCAGAAAACAUAGUGGCUUCGGCGACACACUUUGCCAAAACAACAAUCAAGCCACCUGGUCAAUGAAAAAGGAUGAACAGUGCAUAUACAAAUGACAACUGGAUGCUUGGAGCUGGAGUUGAACCAGCGACCUUUGGACCACAGCGUUUCGGGAACUUCUUAAAGUCAUGUGCUCUACCAACUGAGCUAUGAAGGUGCUUAUAGAUGAAAACGCAGAAAACAUAGUGGCUUCGGCGACACACUUUGCCAAAACAACAAUCAAGCCACCUGGUCAUUGAAAAAGGAUGAACAGUGCAUAUACAAAUGAAAUCUGGUGAUUGGAGCUAGAUGAACCAGGGACCUUUGGACCACAGCGUUUCAGGAACUUCUUAAAGUCAUGUGGUCUACCAACUGAGCUAUGAAGGUGCUUAUAGAUACAACCGCAGAAAACAUAGUGGCUUCGGCGACACACUUUGCCGACAUAACUAUUGGACCCACAUGGUCAAUGAAAAAGGAUGAACAGUGCAUAUACCAAUGAAAUCUGGUGCUUGGAGCUGGAGUUGAACCAGCAACCUUUGGACCACAGCGUUUCAGGAACUUCUUAAAGUCCUCUGCUCUACCAAAUGAGCUAUGAAGGUGCUUAUAGACACAAACGCAGAAAACAUAGUGGCUUCCGCGACACUCUUUGCCGACAUAACUAUUGAACCAACAUGGUCAAUGAAAAAGGUUGAACAGUGCAUAAACCAAUGAAAUCUGGUGUUUGGAGCAGGAGUUGAACCAGCGACCUUUGGACCACAGCGUUUCAGGAACUUCUUAAAGUCAUGUGCUCUACCAACUGAGCUAUGAAGGUGCUUAUAAAUAAAACCGCAGAAAACAUAGUGGCUUCGGCGACACACUUUGCCAACAUAACUAUUGAACCAACAUGGUCAAUGAAAAAGGUUGAACAGUGCAUAUACAAAUGAAAUCUGGUGCUUGGAGCUGGAGUUGAAACAGCAACCUUUGGACCACAGCGUUUCAGGAACUUCUUAAAGUCAUGUGCUCUACCAACUGAGCUAUGAAGGUGCUUAUAGACACAAACGCAGAAAACAUAGUGGCUUCGGCGACACACUUUGCCAACAUAACUAUUGAACCAACAUGGUCAAUGAAAAAGGUUGAACAGUGCAUACACCAAUGAAAUCUGGUGUUUGGAGCUGGAGUUGAACCAGCGUCCUUUGGACCACAGCGUUUAAGGAACUUCUUAAAGUCAUGUGCUCUACCAACUGAGCUAUGAAGGUGCUUAUAGAUAAAAACGCAGAAAACAUAGUGGCUUCGGCGACACACUUUGCCAACAUAACUAUUGGACCCACAUGGUCAAUGAAAAAGGUUGAACAGUGCAUAUACAAAUGAAAUCUGGUGCUUGGAGCAGGAGUUGAACCAGGGACCUUUGGACCACAGCGUUUCAGGAACUUCUUACAGUCAUGUGCUCUACCAACUGAGCUAUGAAGGUGCUUAUAGAUGAAAACGCAGAAAACAUAGUGGCUUCGGCGACACACUUUGCCAACACAACAAUCAAGCCACCUGGUCAAUGAAAAAGGUUGAACAGUGCAUAGACCAAUGAAAUCUGGUGUUUGGAGCAGGAGUUGAACCAGCGACCUUUGGACCACAGCGUUUAAGGAACUUCUUAAAGUCAUGUGCUCUACCAACUGAGCUAUGAAGGUGCUUAUAGAUACAACCGCAGAAAACAUAGUGGCUUCGGCGACACACUUUGCCGACAUAACUAUUGGACCCACAUGGUCAAUGAAAAAGGAUGAACAGUGCAUAUACCAAUGAAAUUUGGUGCUUGGAGCUGGAGUUGAACCAGCGACCUUUGGACCACAGCGUUUCAGGAACUUCUUAAAGUCCUCUGCUCUACCAAAUGAGCUAUGAAGGUGCUUAUAGACACAAACGCAGAAAACAUAGUGGCUUCCGCGACACUCUUUGCUGACAUAACUAUUGAACCAACAUGGUCAAUGAAAAAGGUUGAACAGUGCAUACACCAAUGAAAUCUGGUGUUUGGAGCUGGAGUUGAACUAGCGACCUUUGGACCACAGCGUUUCAGGAACUUCUUAAAGUCAUGUGCUCUACCAACUGAGCUAUGAAGGUGCUUAUUGACACAAACGCAGAAAACAUAGUGGCUUCGGCGACACACUUUGCCAACAUAACUAUUGGACCCACAUGGUCAAUGAAAAAGGUUGAACAGUGCAUACACCAAUGAAAUCUGGUGUUUUGAGCUGGAGUUGAACCAGCGAUGUUUGGACCACAGCUUUUUAGGAACUUCUUAAAGUCAUGUGCUCUAGCAACUGAGCUAUGAAGGUGGUUAUAGAUAGGAACGCAGAAAACAUAGUGGCUUCGGCGACACACUUUGCCAACAUAACUAUUGAACCAACAUGGUCAAUGAAAAAGGUUGAACAGUGCAUACACCAAUGAAAUCUGGUGUUUGGAGCUGGAGUCGAACCAGCGUCCUUUGGACCACAGCGUUUAAGGAACUUCUUAAAGUCAUGUGCUCUACCAACUGAGCUAUGAAGGUGCUUAUAGAUAAAAACGCAGAAAACAUAGUGGCUUCGGCGACACACUUUGCCAAAACAACAAUCAAGCCACCUGGUCAAUGAAAAAGGAUGAACAGUGCAUAUACAAAUGAAAUCUGGUGCUUGGAGCUGGAGUUGAACGAGGGACCUUUGGACCACAGCGUUUCAGGAACUUCUUACAGUCAUGUGCUCUACCAACUGAGCUAUGAAGGUGCUUAUAGAUGAAAACGCAGAAAACAUAGUGGCUUCGGCGACACACUUUGCCAACACAAUAAUCAAGCCACCUGGUCAAUGAAAAAGGUUGAACAGUGCAUAGACCAAUGAAAUGUGGUGUUUGGAGCAGGAGUUGAACAAGCGACCUUUGGACCACAGCGUUUCGGGAACUUCUUAAAGUCAUGUGCUCUACCAACUGAGCUAUGAAGGUGCUUAUAGAUAAAAACGCAGAAAACAUAGUGGCUUCGGCGACACACUUUGCCAAAACAACAAUCAGGCCACCUGGUCAAUGAAAAAGGAUGAACAGUGCAUAUACAAAUGAAAUCUGGUGGUUGGAGCUGGAGUUGAACCAGCGACCUUUGGACCACAGCGUUUUAGGAACUUCUUAAAGUCAUGUGCUCUACCAACUGAGCUAUGAAGGUGCUUAUAGAUAAAAACGCAGAAAACAUAGUUGCUUCGGCGACACACUUUGCCAACAUAACUAUUGAUCCAACAUGGUCAAUGAAAAAGGUUGAACAGUGCAUAGACCAAUGAAAUGUGGUGUUUGAAGCAGGAGUUGAACCAGCGUCCUUUGGACCACAGCGUUUCAGGAACUUCUUAAAGUCAUGUGCUCUACCAACUGAGCUAUGAAGGUGCUUAUAGACACAAACGCAGAAAACAUAGUGGCUUCGGCGACACACUUUGCCAACAUAACUAUUGAACCAACAUGGUCAAUGAAAAAGGUUGAACAGUGCAUAUACAAAUGAAAUCUGGUGUUUGGAGCUGGAGUUGAACCAGCAACCUUUGGACCACAGCGUUUCAGGAACUUCUUAAAGUCAUGUGCUCUACCAACUGAGCUAUGAAGGUGCUUAUAGAUAAAAACGCAGAGAACAUAGUGGCUUCGGCGACACACUUUGCCACCAUAACUAUUGAACCAACAUGGUCAAUGAAAAAGGUUGAACAGUGCAUACACCAAUGAAAUCUGGUGUUUGGAGCUGGAGUUGAACCAGCGUCCUUUGGACCACAGCGUUUAAGGAACUUCUUAAAGUCAUGUGCUCUACCAACUGAGCUAUGAAGGUGCUUAUAGAUAAAAACGCAGAAAACAUAGUGGCUUCGGCGACACACUUUGCCAACAAUACAAUUGGACCCACAUGGUCAAUGAAAAAGGUUGAACAGUGCUUAGACAAAUGAAAUCUGGUGUUUGGAGAUGGAGUUGAACCAGCGACCUUUGGACCACAGCGUUUCAGGAACUUCUUACAGUCAUGUGCUCUACCAACUGAGCUAUGAAGGUGCUUAUAGAUAAAAACGCAGAAAACAUAGUGGCUUCGGCGACACACUUUGCCAAAACAACAAUCAAGCCACCUGGUCAAUGAAAAAGGAUGAACAGUGCAUAUACAAAUGAAAUCUGGUGCUUGGAGCUGGAGUUGAACCAGGGACCUUUGGACAACAGCGUUUCAGGAACUUCUUACAGUCAUGUGCUCUACCAACUGAGCUAUGAAGGUGCUUAUAGAUGAAAACGCAGAAAACAUAGUGGCUUCGGCGACACACUUUGCCAACACAACAAUCAAGCCACCUGGUCAAUGAAAAAGGUUGAACAGUGCAUAAAUCAAUGAAAUCUGGUGUUUGGAGCAGGAGUUGAACCAGCGACCUUUGGACCACAGCAUUUCAGGAACUUCUUAAAGUCAUGUGCUCUACCAACUGAGCUAUGAAGGUCCUUUUAGAUAAAAACGCAGAAAACAUAGUGGCUUCGGCGACACACUUUGCCAAAACAACAAUCAAGCCACCUGGUCAAUGAAAAAGGUUGAACAGUGCAUAUACAAAUGACAACUGGAUGCUUGGAGCUGGAGUUCAACCAGCGACCUUUGGACCACAGCGUUUCAGGAACUUCUUAAAGUCAUGUGCUCUACCAACUGAGCUAUGAAGGUGCUUAUAGACACAAACGCAGAAAACAUAGUGGCUUCGGCGACACACUUUGCCAACAAUACAAUUGGACCCACAUGGUCAAUGAAAAAGGUUGAACAGUGCAUAGACCAAUGAAAUCUGGUGUUUGGAGCUGGAGUUGAACCAGCGACCUUUGGACCACAGCGUUUCAGGAACUUCUUAAAGUCAUGUGCUCUACCAACUGAGCUAUGAAGGUGCUUAUAGAUAAAAACGCAGAAAACAUAGUGGCUUCGGCGACACACUUUGCCAAAACAACAAUCAAGCCACCUGGUCAAUGAAAAAGGAUGAACAGUGCAUAUACAAAUGAAAUCUGGUGCUUGGAGCUGGAGUUGAACCAGAGACCUUUGGACCACAGCGUUUCAGGAACUUCUUAAAGUCAUGUGCUCUACCAACUGAGCUAUGAAGGUGCUUAUAGAUAAAAACGCAGAAAACAUAGUGGCUUCGGCGACACACUUUGCCAACACAACAAUCAAGCCACCUGGUCAAUGAAAAAGGUUGAACAGUGCAUAGACCAAUAAAAUCUGGUGUUUGGAGCAGGAGUUGAAGCAGCGACCUUUGGACCACAGCAUUUCAGGAACUUCUUAAAGUCAUGUGCUCUACCAACUGAGCUAUGAAGGUGCUUAUAGAUAAAAACGCAGAAAACAUAGUGGCUUCGGCGACACACUUUGCCAACAUAACUAUUGAACUAACAUGGUCAAUGAAAAAGGUUGAACAGUGCAUACACAAAUGAAAUCUGGUGUUUGGAGCUGGAGUUGAACCAGCGACCUUUGGACCACAGCGUUUUAGGAACUUCUUAAAGUCAUGUGCUCUACCAACUGAGCUAUGAAGGUCCUUUUAGAUAAAAACGCAGAAAACAUAGUGGCUUCGGCGACACACUUUGCCAAAACAACAAUCAAGCCACCUGGUCAAUGAAAAAGGAUGAACAGUGCAUAUACAAAUGAAAUCUGGUGCUUGGAACUGGAGUUGAACCAGCGACCUUUGGACCACAGCGUUUCAGGAACUUCUUAAACACAUGUGCUCUACCAACUGAGCUAUGAAGGUGCUUAUAGAUAAAAACGCAGAAAACAUAGUAGCUUCGGCGACACACUUUGCCAAAACAACAAUCAAGCCACCUGGUCAAUGAAAAAGGAUGAACAGUGCAUAUACAAAUGAAAUCUGGUGCUUGGAGCUGGAGUUGAACCAGCGACCUUUGGACCACAGCGUUUCAGGAACUUCUUAAAGUCAUGUGCUCUACCAACUGAGCUAUGAAGGUGCUUAUAGAUAAAAACGCAGAAAACAUAGUGGCUUCGGCGACACACUUUGCCAAAACAACAAUCAAGCCACCUGGUCAAUGAAAAAGGAUGAACAGUGCAUAUACAAAUGAAAUCGGGUGCUUGGAACUGGAGUUGAACCAGCGACCUUUGGACCACAGCGUUUCAGGAACUUCUUAAAGUCAUGUGCUCUACCAACUGAGCUAUGAAGGUGCUUAUAGAUAAAAACGCAGAAAACAUAGUGGCUUCGGCGACACACUUUGCCAACAUAACUAUUGAACCAACAUGGUCAAUGAAAAAGGUUGAACAGUGCAUAGACCAAUGAAAUGUGGUGUUUGGAGCAGGAGUUAAACCAGCGUCCUUUGGACCACAGCGUUUCAGGAACUUCUUAAAGUCAUGUGCUCUACCAACUGAGCUAUGAAGGUGCUUAUAGACACAAACGCAGAAAACAUAGUGGCUUCGGCGACACACUUUGCCAACAAUACAAUUGGACCCACAUGGUCAAUGAAAAAGGUUGAACAGUGCAUAGACCAAUGAAAUCUGUUGUUUGGAGCAGGAGUUGAACCAGCGACCUUUGGACCACAGCGUUUCAGGAACUUCUUAAAGUCAUGUGCUCUACCAACUGAGCUAUGAAGGUGCUUAUAGAUAAAAACGCAGAAAACAUAGUGGCUUCGGCGACACACUUUGCCAACAUAACUAUUGAACCAACAUGGUCAAUGAAAAAGGUUGAACAGUGCAUAUACAAAUGAAAUCUGGUGUUUGGAGCUGGAGUUGAACCAGCGACCUUUGGACCACAGCGUUUCAGGAACUUCUUAAAGUCAUGUGCUCUACCAACUGAGCUAUGAAGGUGCUUAUAGAUAAGAACGCAGAAAACAUAGUGGCUUCGGCGACACACUUUGCCAACAUAACUAUUGAACCAACAUGGUCAAUGAAAAAGGUUGAACAGUGCAUAAAUGAAUGAAAUCUGGUGUUUGGAGCAGGAGUUGAACCAGCGACCUUUGGACCACAGCAUUUCAGGAACUUCUUAAAGUCAUGUGCUCUUCCAACUGAGCUAUGAAGGUCCUUUUAGAUAAAAACGCAGAAAACAUAGUGGCUUCGGCGACACACUUUGCCAAAACAACAAUCAAGCCACCUGGUCAAUGAAAAAGGAUGAACAGUGCAUAUACAAAUGAAAACUGGAUGCUUGGAGCUGGAGUUGAACCAGCGACCUUAGGACCAUAGCGUUUCAGGAACUUCUUAAAGUCAUGUGCUCUACCAACUGAGCUAUGAAGGUGCUUAUAGAUAAAAACGCAGAAAACAUAGUGGCUUCGGCGACACACUUUGCCAAAACAACAAUCAAGCCACCUGGUCAAUGAAAAAGGAUGAACAGUGCAUAUACAAAUGAAAUCUGUUGCUUGGAGCUGGAGUUGAACCAGGGAGCUUUGGAGCACAGCGUUUAAGGAACUUCUUAAACACAUGUGCUCUACCAACUGAGCUAUGAAGGUGCUUAUAGAUAAAAACGCAGAAAACAUAGUGGCUUCGGCGACACACUUUGCCAAAACAACAAUCAAGCCACCUGGUCAAUGAAAAAGGAUGAACAGUGCAUAUACAAAUGAAAUCUGGUGCUUGGAGCUGGAGUUGAACCAGGGACCUUUGGACAACAGCGUUUCAGGAACUUCUUACAGUCAUGUGCUCUACCAACUGAGCUAUGAAGGUGCUUAUAGAUGAAAACGCAGAAAACAUAGUGGCUUCGGCGACACACUUUGCCAACACAACAAUCAAGCCACCUGGUCAAUGAAAAAGGUUGAACAGUGCAUAAAUCAAUGAAAUCUGGUGUUUGGAGCAGGAGUUGAACCAGCGACCUUUGGACCACAGCAUUUCAGGAACUUCUUAAAGUCAUGUGGUCUACCAACUGAGCUAUGAAGGUCCUUUUAGAUAAAAACGCAGAAAACAUAGUGGCUUCGGCGACACACUUUGCCAAAACAACAAUCAAGCCACCUGGUCAAUGAAAAAGGUUGAACAGUGCAUAUACAAAUGACAACUGGAUGCUUGGAGCUGGAGUUCAACCAGCGACCUUUGGACCACAGCGUUUCAGGAACUUCUUAAAGUCAUGUGCUCUACCAACUGAGCUAUGAAGGUGCUUAUAGACACAAACGCAGAAAACAUAGUGGCUUCGGCGACACACUUUGCCAACAAUACAAUUGGACCCACAUGGUCAAUGAAAAAGGUUGAACAGUGCAUAGACCAAUGAAAUCUGGUGUUUGGAGCUGGAGUUGAACCAGCGACCUUUGGACCACAGCGUUUCAGGAACUUCUUAAAGUCAUGUGCUCUACCAACUGAGCUAUGAAGGUGCUUAUAGAUAAAAACGCAGAAAACAUAGUGGCUUCGGCGACACACUUUGCCAAAACAACAAUCAAGCCACCUGGUCAAUGAAAAAGGAUGAACAGUGCAUAUACAAAUGAAAUCUGUUGUUUGGAGCAGGAGUUGAACCAGCGACCUUUGGACCACAGCGUUUCAGGAACUUCUUAAAGUCAUGUGCUCUACCAACUGAGCUAUGAAGGUGCUUAUAGAUAAAAACGCAGAAAACAUAGUGGCUUCGGCGACACACUUUGCCAAAACAACAAUCAAGCCACCUGGUCAAUGAAAAAGGAUGAACAGUGCAUAUACAAAUUAAAUCUGUUGUUUGGAGCAGGAGUUGAACCAGCGACCUUUGGACCACAGCGUUUCAGGAACUUCUUAAAGUCAUGUGCUCUACCAACUGAGCUAUGAAGGUGCUUAUAGAUAAAAACGCAGAAAACAUAGUGGCUUCGGCGACACACUUUGCCAACACAACAAUCAAGCCACCUGGUCAAUGAAAAAGGUUGAACAGUGCAUAGACCAAUGAAAUCUGGUGUUUGGAGCUGGAGUUGAACAAGCGACCUUUGGACCACAGCGUUUCAGGAACUUCUUAAAGUCAUGUGCUCUACCAACUGAGCUAUGAAGGUGCUUAUAGAUAAAAACGCAGAAAACAUAGUGGCUUCGGCGACACACUUUGCCAAAACAACAAUCAAGCCACCUGGUCAAUGAAAAAGGAUGAACAGUGCAUAUACAAAUGAAAUCUGGUGCUUGGAGCUGGAGUUGAACCAGGGACCUUUGGACCACAGCGUUUCAGGAACUUCUUACAGUCAUGUGCUCUACCAACUGAGCUAUGAAGGUGCUUAUAGAUGAAAAUGCAGAAAACAUAGUGGCUUCGGCGACACACUUUGCCAACACAACAAUCAAGCCACCUGGUCAAUGAAAAAGGUUGAACAGUGCAUAAAUCAAUGAAAUCUGGUGUUUGGAGCAGGAGUUGAAGCAGCGACCUUUGGACCACAGCGUUUCAGGAACUUCUUAAAGUCAUGUGCUCUACCAACUGAGCUAUGAAGGUGCUUAUAGAUAAAAACGCAGAAAACAUAGUGGCUUCGGCGACACACUUUGCCAACAUAACUAUUGAACCAACAUGGUCAAUGAAAAAGGAUGAACAGUGCAUAGACCAAUGAAAUGUGGUGUUUGGAGCUGGAGUUGAACCAGCGUCCUUUGGACCACAGGGUUUAAGGAACUUCUUAAAGUCAUGUGCUCUACCAACUGAGCUAUGAAGGUGCUUAUAGAUAAAAACGCAGAAAACAUAGUGGCUUCGGCGACACACUUUGCCAAAACAACAAUCAAGCCACCUGGUCAAUGAAAAAGGAUGAACAGUGCAUAGACCAAUGAAAUCUGGUGUUUGGAGCAGGAGUUGAACCAGCGACCUUUGGACCACAGCGUUUCGGGAACUUGUUAAAGUCAUGUGCUCUACCAACUGAGCUAUGAAGGUGCUUAUAGAUAAAAACGCAGAAAACAUAGUGGCUUCGGCGACACACUUUGCCAAAACAACAAUCAAGCCACCUGGUCAAUGAAAAAGGAUGAACAGUGCAUAUACAAAUGAAAUCUGGUGCUUGGAGCUGGAGUUGAACCAGCGACCUUUGGACCACAGCGUUUCAGGAACUUCUUAAAGUCAUGUGCUCUACCAACUGAGCUAUGAAGGUGCUUAUAGAUAAAAACGCAGAAAACAUAGUGGCUUCGGCGACACACUUUGCCAACAUAACUAUUGAACCAACAUGGUCAAUGAAAAAGGUUGAACAGUGCAUACACCAAUGAAAUCUGGUGUUUGGAGCUGGAGUUGAACCAGCGUCCUUUGGACCACAGCGUUUAAGGAACUUCUUAAAGUCAUGUGCUCUACCAACUGAGCUAUGAAGGUGCUUAUAGAUAAAAACGCAGAAAACAUAGUGGCUUCGGCGACACACUUUGCCAAAACAACAAUCAAGCCACCUGGUCAAUGAAAAAGGAUGAACAGUGCAUAUACAAAUGAAAUCUGGUGCUUGGAGCUGGAGUUGAACCAGGGACCUUUGGACCACAGCGUUUUAGGAACUUCUUAAAGUCAUGUGCUCUACCAACUGAGCUAUGAAGGUGCUUAUAGAUAGAAACGCAGAAAACAUAGUGGCUUCAGCGACACACUUUGCCAACAUAACUAUUGAACCAACAUGGUCAAUGAAAAAGGUUGAACAGUGCAUACACCAAUGAAAUCUGGUGUUUGGAGCUGGAGUUGAACCAGCGACCUUUGGACCACAGCGUUUCAGGAACUUCUUAAAGUCAUGUGCUCUACCAACUGAGCUAUGAAGGUGCUUAUAGAUAAAAACGCAGAAAACAUAGUGGCUUCGGCGACACACUUUGCCAAAACAACAAUCAAGCCACCUGGUCAAUGAAAAAGGAUGAACAGUGCAUAUACAAAUGAAAUCUGGUGUUUGGAGCAGGAGUUGAACCAGCGACCUUUGGACCACAGCGUUUCGGGAACUUCUUAAAGUCAUGUGCUCUACCAACUGAGCUAUGAAGGUGCUUAUAGAUAAAAACGCAGAAAACAUAGUGGCUUCGGCGACACACUUUGCCAAAACAACAAUCAAGCCACCUGGUCAAUGAAAAAGGAUGAACAGUGCAUAUACAAAUGAAAUCUGGUGCUUGGAGCUGGAGUUGAACCAGCGACCUUUGGACCACAGCGUUUUAGGAACUUCUUAAAGUCAUGUGCUCUACCAACUGAGCUAUGAAGGUGCUUAUAGAUAAAAACGCAGAAAACAUAGUGGCUUCGGCGACACACUUUGCAAACAUAACUAUUGAACCAACAUGGUCAAUGAAAAAGGUUGAACAGUGCAUACACCAAUGAAAUCUGGUGUUUGGAGCAGGAGUUGAAACAGCGUCCUUUGGACCACAGCGUUUCAGGAACUUCUUAAAGUCAUGUGCUCUACCAACUGAGCUAUGAAGGUGCUUAUGGACACAAACGCAGAAAACAUAGUGGCUUCGGCGACACACUUUGCCAACAAUACAAUUGGACCGACAUGGUCAAUGAAAAAGGUGUAACAGUGCAUAGACCAAUGAAAUCUGGUGUUUGGAGCAGGAGUUGAACCAGCGACCUUUGGACCACAGCGUUUCAGGAACUUCUUAAAGUCAUGUGCUCUACCAACUGAGCUAUGAAGGUGCUUAUAGAUAAAAACGCAGAAAACAUAGUGGCUUCGGCGACACACUUUGCCAACAUAACUAUUGAACCAACAUGGUCAAUGAAAAAGGUUGAACAGUGCAUAUACAAAUGAAAUCUGGUGUUUGGAGCUGGAGUUGAACCAGCGACCUUUGGACCACAGCGUUUCAGGAACUUCUUAAAGUCAUGUGCUCUACCAACUGAGCUAUGAAGGUGCUUAUAGAUAAAAACGCAGAAAACAUAGUGGCUUCGGCGACACACUUUGCCAACAUAACUAUUGAACCAACAUGGUCAAUGAAAAAGGUUGAACAGUGCAUACACCAAUGAAAUCUGGUGUUUGGAGCUGGAGUUGAACCAGCGUCCUUUGGACCACAGCGUUUAAGGAACUUCUUAAAGUCAUGUGCUCUACCAACUGAGCUAUGAAGGUGCUUAUAGAUAAAAACGCAGAAAACAUAGUGGCUUCGGCGACACACUUUGCCAACAAUACAAUUGGACCCACAUGGUCAAUGAAAAAGGUUGAACAGUGCUUAGACAAAUGAAAUCUGGUGUUUGGAGCAGGAGUUGAACCAGCGACCUUUGGACCACAGCGUUUCGGGAACUUCUUAAAGUCAUGUGCUCUACCAACUGAGCUAUGAAGGUGCUUAUAGAUAAAAACGCAGAAAACAUAGUGGCUUCGGCGACACACUUUGCCAAAACAACAAUCAAGCCACCUGGUCAAUGAAAAAGGAUGAACAGUGCAUAUACAAAUGAAAUCUGGUGCUUGGAGCUGGAGUUGAACCAGCGACCUUUGGACCACAGCGUUUUACGAAACUUCUUAAAGUCAUGUGCUCUACCAACUGAGCUAUGAAGGUGCUUAUAGAUUAAAACUUAGAAAACAUAGUGGCUUCGGCGACACACUUUGCCAACACAACAAUCAAGCCACCUGGUCAAUGAAAAAGGAUGAACAGUGCAUAUACAAAUGAAAUCUGGUGCUUGGAGCAAGAGUUGAACCAGCGACCUUUGGACCACAGCGUUUCAGGAACUUCUUAAAGUCAUGUGCUCUACCAACUGAGCUAUGAAGGUGCUUAUAGAUAAAAACGCAGAAAACAUAGUGGCUUCGGCGACACACUUUGCCAACAUAACUAUUGAACCAACAUGGUCAAUGAAAAAGGUUGAACAGUGCAUAUACAAAUGAAAUCUGGUGUUUGGAGCUGGAGUUGAACCAGCGACCUUUGGACCACAGCGUUUCAGGAACUUCUUAAAGUCAUGUGCUCUACCAACUGAGCUAUGAAGGUGCUUAUAGAUAAAAACGCAGAAAACAUAGUGGCUUCGGCGACACACUUUGCCAACAUAACUAUUGAACCAACAUGGUCAAUGAAAAAGGUUGAACAGUGCAUACACCAAUGAAAUCUGGUGUUUGGAGCUGGAGUUGAACCAGCGUCCUUUGGACCACAGCGUUUAAGGAACUUCUUAAAGUCAUGUGCUCUACCAACUGAGCUAUGAAGGUGCUUAUAGAUAAAAACGCAGAAAACAUAGUGGCUUCGGCGACACACUUUGCCAACAAUACAAUUGGACCCACAUGGUCAAUGAAAAAGGUUGAACAGUGCUUAGACAAAUGAAAUCUGGUGUUUGGAGCUGGAGUUGAACCAGCGACCUUUGGACCACAGCGUUUCAGGAACUUCUUAAAGUCAUGUGCUCUACCAACUGAGCUAUGAAGGUGCUUAUAGAUAAAAACGCAGAAAACAUAGUGGCUUCGGCGACACACUUUGCCAAAACAACAAUCAAGCCACCUGGUCAAUGAAAAAGGAUGAACAGAGCAUAUACAAAUGAAAUCUGGUGCUUGGAGCUGGAGUUGAACCAGGGACCUUUGGACCACAGCGUUUCAGGAACUUCUUACAGUCAUGUGCUCUACCAACUGAGCUAUGAAGGUGCUUAUAGAUGAAAACGCAGAAAACAUAGUGGCUUCGGCGACACACUUUGCCAACACAACAAUCAAGGCACCUGGUCAAUGAAAAAGGUUGAACAGUGCAUAAAUCAAUGAAAUCUGGUGUUUGGAGCAGGAGUUGAACCAGCGACCUUUGGACCACAGCAUUUCAGGAACUUCUUAAAGUCAUGUGCUCUACCAACUGAGCUAUGAAGGUGCUUAUAGAUAAAAACGCAGAAAACAUAGUGGCUUCGGCGACACACUUUGCCAAAACAACAAUCAAGCCACCUGGUCAAUGAAAAAGGAUGAACAGUGCAUAUACAAAUGACAACUGGAUGCUUGGAGCAGGAGUUGAACCAGCAACCUUUGGACCACAGCAUUUCAGGAACUUCUUAAAGUCAUGUGCUCUACCAACUGAGCUAUGAAGGUGCUUAUAGAUAAAAACGCAGAAAACAUAGUGGCUUCGGCGACACACUUUGCCAAAACAACAAUCAAGCCACCUGGUCAAUGAAAAAGGAUGAACAGUGCAUAUACAAAUGACAACUGGAUGCUUGGAGCUGGAGUUGAACCAGCGACCUUUGGACCACAGCGUUUCAGGAACUUCUUAAAGUCAUGUGCUCUACCAACUGAGCUAUGAAGGUGCUUAUAGAUAAAAACGCAGAAAACAUAGUGGCUUCGGCGACACACUUUGCCAAAACAACAAUCAAGCCACCUGGUCAAUGAAAAAGGAUGAACAGUGCAUAUACAAAUGAAAUCUGGUGCUUGGAGCUGGAGUUGAACCAGCGACCUUUGGACCACAGCGUUUCAGGAACUUCUUAAAGUCAUGUGCUCUACCAACUGAGCUAUGAAGGUGCUUAUAGAUAAAAACGCAGAAAACAUAGUGGCUUCGGCGACACACUUUGCCAACAUAACUAUUGAACCAACAUGGUCAAUGAAAAAGGUUGAACAGUGCAUAGACCAAUGAAAUGUGGUGUUUGGAGCAGGAGUUGAACCAGCGUCCUUUGGACCACAGCGUUUCAGGAACUUCUUAAAGUCAUGUGCUCUACCAACUGAGCUAUGAAGGUGCUUAUAGACACAAACGCAGAAAACAUAGUGGCUUCGGCGACACACUUUGCCAACAAUACAAUUGGACCCACAUGGUCAAUGAAACAGGUUGAACAGUGCAUAGACCAAUGAAAUCUGGUGUUUGGAGCAGGAGUUGAACCAGCGACCUUUGGACCACAGCGUUUCAGGAACUUCUUAAAGUCAUGUGCUCUACCAACUGAGCUAUGAAGGUGCUUAUAGAUAAAAACGCAGAAAACAUAGUGGCUUCGGCGACACACUUUGCCAACAUAACUAUUGAACCAACAUGGUCAAUGAAAAAGGUUGAACAGUGCUUAGACAAAUGAAAUCUGGUGUUUGGAGCUGGAGUUGAACCAGCGACCUUUGGACAACAGCGUUUCAGGAACUUCUUAAAGUCAUGUGCUCUACCAACUGAGCUAUGAAGGUGCUUAUAGAUAAAAACGCAGAAAACAUAGUGGCUUCGGCGACACACUUUGCCAACAUAACUAUUGAACCAACAUGGUCAAUGAAAAAGGUUGAACAGUGCAUACACCAAUGAAAUCUGGUGUUUGGAGCUGGAGUUGAACCAGCGUCCUUUGGACCACAGCGUUUAAGGAACUUCUUAAAGUCAUGUGCUCUACCAACUGAGCUAUGAAGGUGCUUAUAGAUAAAAACGCAGAAAACAUAGUGGCUUCGGCGACACACUUUGCCAAAACAACAAUCAAGCCACCUGGUCAAUGAAAAAGGAUGAACAGUGCAUAUACAAAUGAAAUCUGGUGCUUGGAGCUGGAGUUGAACCAGCGACCUUUGGACCACAGCGUUUCAGGAACUUCUUAAAGUCAUGUGCUCUACCAACUGAGCUAUGAAGGUGCUUAUAGAUAAAAACGCAGAAAACAUAGUGGCUUCGGCGACACACUUUGCCAACAUAACUAUUGAACCAACAUGGUCAAUGAAAAAGGUUGAACAGUGCAUAGACCAAUGAAAUGUGGUGUUUGGAGCAGGAGUUGAACCAGCGUCCUUUGGACCACAGCGUUUCAGGAACUUCUUAAAGUCAUGUGCUCUACCAACUGAGCUAUGAAGGUGCUUAUAGACACAAACGCAGAAAACAUAGUGGCUUCGGCGACACACUUUACCAACAAUACAAUUGGACCCACAUGGUCAAUGAAAAAGGUUGAACAGUGCAUAGACCAAUGAAAUCUGGUGUUUGGAGCAGGAGUUGAACCAGCGACCUUUGGACCACAGCGUUUCAGGAACUUCUUAAAGUCAUGUGCUCUACCAACUGAGCUAUGAAGGUGCUUAUAGAUAAAAACGCAGAAAACAUAGUGGCUUCGGCGACACACUUUGCCAACAUAACUAUUGAACCAACAUGGUCAAUGAAAAAGGUUGAACAGUGCAUAGACCAAUGAAAUGUGGUGUUUGGAGCAGGAGUUGAACCAGCGUCCUUUGGACCACAGCGUUUCAGGAACUUCUUAAAGUCAUGUGCUCUACGAACUGAGCUAUGAAGGUGCUUAUAGACACAAACGCAGAAAACAUAGUGGCUUCGGCGACACACUUUGCCAACAAUACAAUUGGACCCACAUGGUCAAUGAAAAAGGUUGAACAGUGCAUAGACCAAUGAAAUCUGGUGUUUGGAGCAGGAGUUGAACCAGCGACCUUUGGACCACAGCGUUUCAGGAACUUCUUAAAGUCAUGUGCUCUACCAACUGAGCUAUGAAGGUGCUUAUAGAUAAAAACGCAGAAAACAUAGUGGCUUCGGCGACACACUUUGCCAACAUAACUAUUGAACCAACAUGGUCAAUGAAAAAGGUUGAACAGUGCAUACACCAAUGAAAUCUGGUGUUUGGAGCUGGAGUUGAACCAGCGUCCUUUGGACCACAGCGUUUAAGGAACUUCUUAAAGUCAUGUGCUCUACCAACUGAGCUAUGAAGGUGCUUAUAGAUAAAAACGCAGAAAACAUAGUGGCUUCGGCGACACACUUUGCCAACAAUACAAUUGGACCCACAUGGUCAAUGAAAAAGGUUGAACAGUGCUUAGACAAAUGAAAUCUGGUGUUUGGAGCUGGAGUUGAACCAGCGACCUUUGGACCACAGCGUUUCAGGAACUUCUUACAGUCAUGUGCUCUACCAACUGAGCUAUGAAGAUGCUUAUAGAUAAAAACGCAGAAAACAUAGUGGCUUCGGCGACACACUUUGCCAAAACAACAAUCAAGCCACCUGGUCAAUGAAAAAGGAUGAACAGUGCAUAUACAAAUGAAAUCUGGUGCUUGGAGCUGGAGUUGAACCAGGGACCUUUGGACAACAGCGUUUCAGGAACUUCUUACAGUCAUGUGCUCUACCAACUGAGCUAUGAAGGUGCUUAUAGAUGAAAACGCAGAAAACAUAGUGGCUUCGGCGACACACUUUGCCAACACAACAAUCAAGCCACCUGGUCAAUGAAAAAGGUUGAACAGUGCAUAAAUCAAUGAAAUCUGGUGUUUGGAGCAGGAGUUGAACCAGCGACCUUUGGACCACAGCAUUUCAGGAACUUCUUAAAGUCAUGUGCUCUACCAACUGAGCUAUGAAGGUGCUUAUAGAUAAAAACGCAGAAAACAUAGUGGCUUCGGCGACACACUUUGCCAAAACAACAAUCAAGCCACCUGGUCAAUGAAAAAGGUUGAACAGUGCAUAUACAAAUGACAACUGGAUGCUUGGAGCUGGAGUUGAACCAGCGACCUUUGGACCACAGCGUUUCAGGAACUUCUUAAAGUGAUGUGCUCUACCAACUGAGCUAUGAAGGUGCUUAUAGACACAAACGCAGAAAACAUAGUGGCUUCGGCGACACACUUUGCCAACAAUACAAUUGGACCCACAUGGUCAAUGAAAAAGGUUGAACAGUGCAUAGACCAAUGAAAUCUGGUGUUUGGAGCUGGAGUUGAACCAGCGACCUUUGGACCACAGCGUUUCAGGAACUUCUUAAAGUCAUGUGCUCUACCAACUGAGCUAUGAAGGUGCUUAUAGAUAAAAACGCAGAAAACAUAGUGGCUUCGGCGACACACUUUGCCAAAACAACAAUCAAGCCACCUGGUCAAUGAAAAAGGAUGAACAGUGCAUAUACAAAUGAAAUCUGGUGCUUGGAGCUGGAGUUGAACCAGAGACCUUUGGACCACAGCGUUUCAGGAACUUCUUAAAGUCAUGUGCUCUACCAACUGAGCUAUGAAGGUGCUUAUAGAUAAAAACGCAGAAAACAUAGUGGCUUCGGCGACACACUUUGCCAACACAACAAUGAAGCAACCUGGUCAAUGAAAAAGGUUGAACAGUGCAUAGACCAAUAAAAUCUGGUGUUUGGAGCAGGAGUUGAACAAGCGACCUUUGGACCACAGCGUUUCAGGAACUUCUUAAAGUCAUGUGCUCUACCAACUGAGCUAUGAAGGUGCUUAUAGAUAAAAACGCAGAAAACAUAGUGGCUUCGGCGACACACUUUGCCAAAACAACAAUCAAGCCACCUGGUCAAUGAAAAAGGAUGAACAGUGCAUAUACAAAUGAAAUCUGGUGCUUGGAGGUGGAGUUGAACCAGGGACCUUUGGACCACAGCGU
Molecule: long non-coding RNA, 29179 nt
Filed under: Xyrichtys novacula (pearly razorfish)
Lineage: Eukaryota; Metazoa; Chordata; Actinopteri; Labriformes; Labridae
Source: RNAcentral